UACGUAGGGUGCAAGCGUUGUCCGGAAUUAUUGGGCGUAAAGAGCUCGUAGGCGGCUUGUCACGUCGGGUGUGAAAGACCGGGGCUUAACCCCGGUUCUGCAUUCGAUACGGGCUGGCUAGAGUACGGAAGAGGCGAGUGGAAUUCCCGGUGUAGCGGUGAAAUGCGCAGAUAUCGGGAGGAACACCAAUUGCGAAGGCAGCUCGCUGGGACGUUACUGACGCUGAGACGCGAAAGCGUGGGGAGCGAACAGG
Molecule: ribosomal RNA, 253 nt
Filed under: uncultured bacterium
Lineage: Bacteria
Description: partial 16S ribosomal RNA
Rfam family: Bacterial small subunit ribosomal RNA
Source: RNAcentral